CAAGUCGAGCGAUAACCAUGGCUUCGGCUAUGGGGAGAGCGGCGAACGGGUGAGUAACACGUGAGUGAUCUGCCCUUGACACCGGGAUAGCCCGGGGAAACCCGGAUUAAUACCGGAUGGCCUGUCGAGCCUACGGGCUCGCUAGAAAAGAUGGCUUCGGCUUUCGGUCGAGGAGGAGCUUGCGGCGGAUUAGCUUGUUGGUGAGGUAACGGCUCACCAAGGCGACGAUCCGUAGCUGGUCUGAGAGGACGAUCAGCCACACUGGGACUGAGACACGGCCCAGACUCCUACGGGAGGCAGCAGUGGGGAAUCUUGCGCAAUGGGCGAAAGCCUGACGCAGCGACGCCGCGUGAGGGAAGAAGGCCUUCGGGUUGUAAACCUCUUUCAGGAGGGACGAAGCUACUCGGGUUAAUACCCCAGAGGGUGGCGGUACCUCCAGAAGAAGCCCCGGCUAACUACGUGCCAGCAGCCGCGGUAAUACGUAGGGGGCAAGCGUUGUCCGGAAUUAUUGGGCGUAAAGCGCGUGUAGGCGGCCAGAUAAGUCCGCUGUGAAAUCUCGAGGCUCAACUUCGAGCUGUCGGUGGAAACUGUCUGGCUAGAGUCCGGAAGAGGAGAAUGGAAUUCCUGGUGUAGCGGUGAAAUGCGCAGAUAUCAGGAAGAACACCCGUGGCGAAGGCGGUUCUCUGGGACGGUACUGACGCUGAGACGCGAAAGCGUGGGGAGCGAACAGGAUUAGAUACCCUGGUAGUCCACGCCGUAAACGAUGGGUGCUAGGUGUGGGCGGUGUCGACUCCGUCCGUGCCGAACCUAACGCAUU
This 817-nucleotide ribosomal RNA is filed under the name uncultured Actinomycetes bacterium. RNAcentral's name for it is "bacterial SSU rRNA". It matches the Rfam family "Bacterial small subunit ribosomal RNA", at positions 58 to 861 of the family's 1533-position model. The record is from RNAcentral. Lineage: Bacteria; Bacillati; Actinomycetota; Actinomycetes.